GGGCCCGCACAAGCGGAGGAACAUGUGGUUUAAUUCGAUGAUACGCGAGGAACCUUACCUGGGUUUAAAUGUAGGACGCAAGUCACGUGAAAGCGAGACCCUCCCGCAAGGGACGGACUACAAGGUGCUGCAUGGUUGUCGUCAGCUCGUGCCGUGAGGUGUCGGGUUAAGUCCCAUAACGAGCGCAACCCUCAUUGUUAGUUACCAGCGGAUCAUGCCGGGGACUCUAACAAGACUGCCACCGUAAGGUGAGAGGAAGGUGGGGAUGACGUCAAAUCAGCACGGCCCUUAUAUCCAGGGCUACACACGUGUUACAAUGGCCAGUACAAAGGGCAGCUACCUGGUGACAGGAUGCUAAUCUCCAAAACUGGUCUCAGUUCGGAUCGAAGUCUGCAACUCGACUUCGUGAAGUUGGAUUCGCUAGUAAUCGCGCAUCAGCAACGGCGCGGUGAAUACGUUCCCGGGCCUU
Molecule: ribosomal RNA, 469 nt
Filed under: uncultured bacterium
Lineage: Bacteria
Description: bacterial SSU rRNA
Rfam family: Bacterial small subunit ribosomal RNA
Source: RNAcentral